GAUGAGGUGGCCGAGAGGUUAAGGCGAUGGACUGCUAAUCCAUUGUGCUCUGCACGUGGGUUCGAGUCCCACCUCAACG
This 79-nucleotide transfer RNA is filed under the name Ameiurus melas (black bullhead). It matches the Rfam family "tRNA". From Rfam's summary of the family: Transfer RNA (tRNA) molecules are approximately 80 nucleotides in length. Their secondary structure includes four short double-helical elements and three loops (D, anti-codon, and T loops). Lineage: Eukaryota; Metazoa; Chordata; Actinopteri; Siluriformes; Ictaluridae. The record is from Rfam by way of RNAcentral.